RNAcentral lists this ribosomal RNA (465 nucleotides) under uncultured bacterium. RNAcentral's name for it is "partial 16S ribosomal RNA". It matches the Rfam family "Bacterial small subunit ribosomal RNA", at positions 28 to 507 of the family's 1533-position model. The record is from RNAcentral.
GACGAACGCUGGCGGCGUGCUUAACACAUGCAAGUCGAACGGAAAGGCCCUGCUUGCAGGGUACUCGAGUGGCGAACGGGUGAGUAACACGUGGGUGAUCUGCCCUGCACUUCGGGAUAAGCUUGGGAAACUGGGUCUAAUACCGGAUAGGAACCAUCUUUAGUGUGGUGGUUGGAAAGUUUUUUCGGUGUAGGAUGAGCUCGCGGCCUAUCAGCUUGUUGGUGGGGUAAUGGCCUACCAAGGCGGCGACGGGUAGCCGGCCUGAGAGGGUGUACGGCCACAUUGGGACUGAGAUACGGCCCAGACUCCUACGGGAGGCAGCAGUGGGGAAUAUUGCACAAUGGGCGCAAGCCUGAUGCAGCGACGCCGCGGGGGGGAUGAAGGCCUUCGGGUUGUAAACUCCUUUCGCUAGGGACGAAGCUUUUUGUGACGGUACCUAGAUAAGAAGCACCGGCUAACUACGUG